RNAcentral lists this ribosomal RNA (459 nucleotides) under uncultured bacterium. RNAcentral's name for it is "partial 16S ribosomal RNA". It matches the Rfam family "Bacterial small subunit ribosomal RNA", at positions 338 to 795 of the family's 1533-position model. The record is from RNAcentral.
CCUACGGGGGGCAGCAGUGAGGAAUAUUGGUCAAUGGGCGCGAGCCUGAACCAGCCAAGUCGCGUGAGGGAUGAAGGUUCUAUGGAUCGUAAACCUCUUUUAUAAGGGAAUAAAGUGUGGGACGUGUCCUAUUUUGUAUGUACCUUAUGAAUAAGGAUCGGCUAACUCCGUGCCAGCAGCCGCGGUAAUACGGAGGAUGCGAGCGUUAUCCGGAUUUAUUGGGUUUAAAGGGUGCGUAGGCGGACUGUUAAGUCAGCGGUAAAAGCCCGGGGCUCAACCCCGGCGAGCCGUUGAAACUGGCUGUCUUGAGAUGUCGAGAGGUAUGCGGAAUGCGCAGUGUAGCGGUGAAAUGCUUAGAUAUUGCGCAGAACUCCGAUUGCGAAGGCAGCAUACCGGCGGCGAUCUGACGCUGAGGCACGAAAGCGUGGGUAUCGAACAGGAUUAGAUACCCUUGUAGUC